UACAGAGGUCCCGAGCGUUGUUCGGAUUCACUGGGCGUAAAGGGUGCGUAGGUGGCAUGGUAAGUUUGAUGUGAAAGCUCAGGGCUUAACCCUGAAAUGGCAUUGAAUACUACUGUGCUGGAGGUUUGGAGGGGGGACUGGAAUUCUUGGUGUAGCAGUGAAAUGCGUAGAUAUCAAGAGGAACACCAGUGGCGAAGGCGAGUCCCUGGACAACACCUGACACUGAGGCACGAAAGCUAGGGGAGCAAUCAGG
This 253-nucleotide ribosomal RNA is filed under the name uncultured bacterium. RNAcentral describes it as "partial 16S ribosomal RNA". It matches the Rfam family "Bacterial small subunit ribosomal RNA", at positions 524 to 776 of the family's 1533-position model. The record is from RNAcentral.